ACGGUUCCAGCGGAUGCGCAUCCAACGGCGAGAAGCCACUCCAACAAGGGCGAACUUAUCGCAAAAACCAACGGCCGGCAGAUCUCCACGUGUUGCCUCUUGAUGACGAUAUUACGCGCUGAUCCAACGCUGCGCAUCUACCGUCCCCUCCCCGUUCUCUCUCUCUCUCUCUCUCUGCGUCUGUCGCUCACGUAGAGGCAACGGAAUUUGAUGAUCAAAGCGAACAGCAUCAAGGAGUAAGAGAAAAGCUGAGCGGAUUCUCUCUUCUUCUUCCUCUUAUCGGUUGAUUUUUCCGGUUGUUUUGGCGACCUCUGCGGCUGUAAUCGGUGGUGGUCGGAGUGCUUUUGUGUUAUAUCCUUUUAUUUGUUGUAAUUUUGGUGGUGGAACGAUUGACGGGAGUGGUCAAUCGGCCGGGAAGCGGCGGCGAUGGCGGAUUCAGACAAUGAAUCCGGAGGAGGCCAGGGAGGCGGGGGAGGGGGAGGGAGCAGUGAGCUGUCGCCGAAGGAACAGGACAGGUUCCUACCCAUCGCGAACGUGAGUAGGAUCAUGAAGAAGGCGUUGCCGGCGAACGCCAAGAUCUCCAAGGACGCGAAGGAGACGGUGCAGGAGUGCGUCUCGGAGUUCAUCAGCUUCAUCACGGGGGAGGCGUCGGACAAGUGCCAGCGAGAGAAGCGCAAGACCAUCAACGGAGACGACCUCCUCUGGGCCAUGACCACGCUCGGCUUCGAGGACUACGUCGACCCCCUCAAGAUCUACCUCCAGAAGUUCCGAGAGAUGGAAGGGGAGAAGACCGCCGCCUGCAGGGGAGAAGGAGCGGGCAAGGACGGCGGCAUCCAGAACGGUGGUAGUGGCGGCCAGAAUGGCGUGCCCCUUGGUGGUGCCGCUGUGCAGAAUGGGUUCGGAGGUGGUGGGGUUUAUGGGGGCAUGCCGAUGAUGAUGGUGGGCCAGAAUCCGGGAGGGGUUAUGUACGAGCAGACGGGAAGGAUGGUAGGGAGCUAUCAGAUUCCGGUGGCCGGAAAAGGUGGGUCCUCGGUCGGAGGAGCGCCGGCCGGGCAACAGACCAGGUCCAGAGGUUAAUUACUGAGGGGAAGUUGUAGGGCUAUGAAGGUGAUGCUUUCGAUGGUAUGGAAGAAAUCUUCAGAACUUCUGCGAUCUGAAGACUGGAGUGCCGUAGAUUUGGUGUUUUCGAGGAUCAGUUUGGUACAUCUCAAAAAGAGAAUUUGAUCGUCGAGGCGUUUGAUCAGUGCUUGUUUGCCUCUGCUCUCUAUGCGCUCAGCAAGUCCAAUUCCAUGCACCAAAACCAUCCUGCCAUUGCCCUUUAAGUUUAGGAUUGCUUCAGUGCUGGGGGUGGAGCCCCUUGGGUGAGUGGGAGUAGAUCUCACUAUCCGAUUGAAGGCGGGAACCUCUCCCCUUCUUCCCAUCCCUUCAAGGUUCAAGGCUGUUUUAGGUGUCCGUGAUGAGGCCGCAACUAUGCUUUGACCUGCAUAUCGAUAUCCUUUUCAAAACAUAGGGAGUUGAAGUCAUGGGGAUACCAAUCUCUUUCCAAAAAGUUCAGCAUGCAA
This is an RNA transcript of Nymphaea colorata (pocket water lily), 1562 nucleotides long. It is a transcript of the gene named nuclear transcription factor Y subunit B-3-like, with no coding region annotated. The record is from RefSeq and is a predicted model, not a curated record. NCBI's taxonomy places the organism in Eukaryota, Viridiplantae, Streptophyta, Magnoliopsida, Nymphaeales, Nymphaeaceae. The transcript has 3 exons.